UGCCAUCCAUGCUUGCUGUUGCAUCCUGCAUCAUAUAAAUUCGCGAUAGUUUGCAUUAUCACCUAAUAUGGAACAUAUGGAAUAUGUGGGAUAUUAUAUAUAUGUUGUCCCGAUUCCAUUUAACUUUGUUGUAGCUCACCCCUGCCAUGUUUGCUAUGCUAAUCCACCCUUAAAUUUGCCGGUAGAAAAUGCAACUCCAACCCUAACUUGUUUGUCCGGGGUUCCGAUUAAUAUGGAUAAGUUGCACCGCAUCAUCCUUGCCAUGUCAUGCAUAUCAUCUUGAGCAUGCUGGUUCUUUAUCCAUAGUAGUAAGACUUGCAUACGUUGUGUGUUCCAGCAUUUGCUUCUUCCCGGAUAGGAUCACGAAGUGGUGAUGUGAGAUACGACGAGUUCUCCGACAAGUUCUUCUGCAGCUUUUCAAAGGCGAGCCCACCCCUUCACCUAUUUUACUUUUACAUGCUCUUUUGAUCUAUUGCUAUCCUUGUGUUGCGAUUCUGUUGUGUCACGUGUCCUAUCCACCUGUUACCUAUAUGUCCGAGAUACACCUCCUCGCCCUACCUAUUGUUUGUUGUUUGCCAGCUUUGCGAGUCGUAGGCGAGUUUAGGGUCUUGUUGAUAUCUCGAGAUGUUCGGGAUAUCUUGUUGGGAGGUUAUCACAUGCUAUAUCUUUUGUUGGAGAUAAUCACACUUUAUUUUAUUGUUAACAACUAAAAUUGUAAGCAGAGGCAUCUGUGAGCCCCUUUGCGAAAGCAUCGGAACUUUGACUCGCUAAUGUCCCCUAGGACCCGAGUUCUUGUUAUCUGUUCCGAGAUUGAGCGCUCUACCCGUACGUGGGGGAGUGGGACCCCCAUCACCCACUACCUUUCCUCGAGUCUGUUUAUUGGGAGCCACAACCUUGGUUUUAUUUGCUCAUAUGCACGAUGCACGAUUUACUUCUGUUGCCUUCGGGUGUUUAUUUCUGUACUGUACUCAUCUCGUGGAACGAUUAGCGACAGCAGGUUGUUCACACUUAGCUUAGCCGUUGGCACAAACCUCUGGGUCCGUAUCGGAGUACGGCCGGACUUCGUCACGGGUAGCUUAGUUGGGUGGCUCCCAUUAAACUUUCUCUUGCAUUGGGAACGGUCUUGAUGUGAGACUCCACCUGUAGUAAGUGGGUUCGAGCAUGCGUAUGGUUACAUUUGGGCAACCCCUGCAGGGUGUACAUCUUAUCGAUAAGCCGUGUCCGCGGUUAUGGACGACUUGGAAUUGUAUAGCUUGAUCAUAGAACAACUUACACCGUUAUCUUGUUGCUAAUAAUCUGAUAAUAACUUGCGUAGUAAUAUAGCCUUACUACCACCGUUACCCAAUAAAACUUGUCCACCGUUGAGUGCCUUUUACAUUGCCUCUUCGCAAUUGUUGGAGGGGAUAUGUGUAAUCGGCUGGGUUAUGUUUGUGUAGUAUUUAUCUGUUACUUUGUGCGCUCUCUUAUCUUCUCUGAGUAGACGGAUGUUGUAGCGUGUCUCUAUUGGAUAGUAGCUUUGCUGCCGCUAAACUCCACAUAUAGCCGGGUGAAGUUUAUACCGCCCACCAGCGAGCAUAGCUGGUCUUGUCUCGCAAGUACGUGCCAAUGGUACUUACCCUCGCCUUCCUUUCUUUUUGUCUCCUCCCCCUUUUGUCGGCAACCGAUGGCCCGACUUUGGCAGGUACGAGAUGACGACGUUAGCAAGGUUACCCUUCCGGCUUGGCCUGGGCAGGGUUAUGGACGCCACUGGUUAUCUUCAGGACUCUUAUCCCAAUUUGUAUCUUGUCCGUACUCGGACGUAUUUGAUCUUCUGUAUGACUUGGAUCUUUGUAUGUAUCUAUUUGUAUCUUGACUCGUUGGAGUCGUUGAUGUAAUA
Non-coding RNA from Lolium perenne, 1876 nucleotides. Lineage: Eukaryota; Viridiplantae; Streptophyta; Magnoliopsida; Poales; Poaceae. The record is from RefSeq and is a predicted model, not a curated record.